Molecule: ribosomal RNA, 253 nt
Filed under: uncultured bacterium
Lineage: Bacteria
Description: partial 16S ribosomal RNA
Rfam family: Bacterial small subunit ribosomal RNA
Source: RNAcentral
UACGUAGGUGACAAGCGUUGUCCGGAUUUACUGGGCGUAAAGAGCGCGCAGGCGGUCGUUCAAGUCGAGUGUGAAAGCCCCCGGCUCAACUGGGGAGGGUCACUCGAUACUGAUCGACUUGAAGGCAGGAGAGGGAAGCGGAAUUCCCGGUGUAGUGGUGAAAUGCGUAGAUAUCGGGAGGAACACUAGUGGCGAAGGCGGCUUCCUGGCCUGUUCUUGACGCUGAGGCGCGAAAGCUAGGGUAGCAAACGGG